AUGCAAAUUCUAGUUCAUACAUUUUAAACGUGAGACUGUGGACGGCUCAGUAAAUCAGUUAUAAUCUGCUCGAUUGUAAAGGUUAUUGGAUAACCGUGGGAAAUCUAGAGCUAAUACAUGCACGGCUCGGCGUAUGUUCGCAUGCGCCGAUUGCAUUUAUUAGAGCAAUCCAACCGAGUGAGCAAUCACUCGUGGUGAAUCUAGAUAACUGCGCAGAUCGUAUGGCCUUGAGCUGACGACAUUUCGAUUGAAUUUCUGCCCUAUCAACUAUGUUGGCAGUUUAGUGGACUGCCAAGGUUUUUACGGGUAACGGGGGAUCAGGGUUCGAUUCCGGAGAGGGAGCCUGAGAAACGGCUACCACAUCCAAGGAAGGCAGCAGGCGCGCAAAUUACCCAAUCCAGACAAUGGGAGGUGGUGACGACAAGUACCGGUGGGCGGCACUGCCGCCAGACUGGAAUGAAAACAAUAUAACAUACCUGAAAUGAGUAACGACUGGAGGGCAAGUCUGGUGCCAGCAGCCGCGGUAAUUCCAGCUCCAGUAGCGUAUCUCAAAGUUGCUGCGCUUAAAACGCUCGUAGUUGGAUCACUCACUGCGCAGUAGUGUGCGCGGUAGCAUGCAUAUUACACACCUGUGCCAUACGUUGUGUUCUCAUGACGUCACUGGCUGGUGGUGCAUUGCAACUGAAGCAGUAAGCUAUUGUGUAGUAAUUGCACGUGAGGAUGGCAGUUGACCUUUGGUGUGUUGAUUGUCGUGUCUCACGGGGUGUGCCUUGAGUAAAUCAGAGUGCUUAAAGCAGGCGUUACGCUUGAAUGUUAUUAGCAUGGAACGAACAAUCGUGUACGGUGUGUACUGAUUACGAUGUGCAGAACUUGUUCCCAUGUCGCAGUACACGACACCGACCACCAAUUACGGAUGUUGGUUCCGUAUUGGGGUACUGAUUAAGAGGAGCGGUUGGGGGCAUUGGUAUUUGGCAGCGAGAGGUGAAAUUCUUGGACCUGCCAAGGACUAACAAAUGCGAAGGCAUCUGUCCAGACCGUAUCUAUUAAUCAAGAACGAAAGAGAGAGGUUCGAAGACGAUCAGAUACCGUCCUAGUUCUCUCUGUAAACGAUGCCGACCCGGGAUCAGCUUAAGGGUUAUUCCUACGCUCGAGGUUGGUCCCCCUGGGAAACCUAAAGUUUUUCGGUUGCGGGGGGAGUAUGGUCGCAAGGCUGAAACUUAAAGGAAUUGACGGAAGGGCACCACCAGGGGUGGAGCCUGCGGCUUAAUUUGACUCAACACGGGAAAACUUACCUAGUCCGGACAUCAAAAGGAUAAACAGACUAAAAGCUCUUUUUUGAUAUGAUGAUUGGUGGUGCAUGGCCGUUCUUAGUUCGUGGAGUGAUCUGUCAGGCCAAUUCCGGUAACGAACGAGACCACAUUCUCCAUUUGACGAGCUGAAGCAGAUGCUGGUCGUGCUUGUGACUGGCAACAGUUGCAUUCCCGGUCAGAAUUGUAGGCAUGGUUAGCGAAAUGUGCUCCCUCGGGAGUCUGUCACGCGAAACUACUCCCUUCAGUGUAACAGUGUUCAAUCCGCAAGGGUUGCGUAUUGUAUCAUGGAGAGACAACGGAAUAUAUAUAAAAAUCCGAGGAAGUGUGGCUAUAACAGGUCUGUGAUGCCCUUAGAUGUUUAGGGCUGCACGCGCGCUACAAUGGCAGCGACAACGAGUGUCUGGAUUGAAAGAUUCCGGGUAAUCUUGAAAUCGCUGCCGUGAUGGGGAUCGACGUUUGUAAAUACGUCGUGAAAGAGGAAUCCCUAGUACGUGUGAUUCAUGAAAUCGCGCGGAUUUAGUCCCUGCCCUUUGUACACACCGCCCGUCGCUACUACCGAGCGAAUGGUGUCAUAAUACCUUGGGAGCGGAUGUCACAACGGGCGUAUGUUCGGAGUGACACUGCGAUCAGCGUAAAAUGGCGCAAUUCGA
This 1960-nucleotide ribosomal RNA is filed under the name Myxobolus tapajosi. RNAcentral describes it as "SSU rRNA". It matches the Rfam family "Eukaryotic small subunit ribosomal RNA". The record is from RNAcentral. Lineage: Eukaryota; Metazoa; Cnidaria; Myxozoa; Bivalvulida; Myxobolidae.